AGAUAUAUUGUGCCCAGUGGGCCACUUUUGGUAAGCAGAACUGGCGCUGUGGGAUGAACCAAACAUGAUGUUACGGCGCCUAAAUUAAUGACUCAUAUUGAUACCAUGAAAGGCGUUGGUUGCUUAAAACAGCAGGACGGUGGACAUGGAAGUCGUAAUCCGCUAAGGAGUGUGUAACAACUCACCUGCCGAAGCAACUAGCCCUUAAAAUGGAUGGCGCUUAAGUCAUAUGCCUAUACAUCAUCACUAAAAUAAAAAUUGUUGAUUUUUUUUAAUAUAUGAUCAUCAUUAUGAAAUUUUAGCGAGUAGGAGGGUACAAUGGUGUGCGCAGAAGUGUUUGGCGUGAGCCUGCAUGAAGCCGCCAUUGGCACAGAUCUUGGUGGUAGUAGCAAAUAAUCGAAUGAGAUCUUGGAGGACUGAAGUGGAGAAGGGUUUCGUGUGAACAGUGGUUGAUCACGAGUUAGUCGGUCCUAAGCUUUAUGCGAAAGCUGUUUAAUUUAUGUUACAUAUAUACAAUUUUUUUUGUUUAUUUUUAUUUAUAAAUAUUUUUGUACAUAAUUGAAUUAAAAGCGAAAGGGAAUACGGUUCCAAUUCCGUAACCUGUUGAGUAUACGUUUGUUUAUUAAAAAUGGGUCUUAUUACACUCAUCCUGGCAACAGGAACGACCAUAGAGAAGCCUUCGAGAGAUACUGGAAGAGUUUUCUUUUCUGCUAAACAAACGUAUCACCAUGGAAGUCUUUUAUAGAGAGAUAUGGUGAAUGGCUUGGAAGAGCAUGACAUUUACUGUUGUGUCAGUAUUUUCUCCUUGGACCUUGAAAAUCUAUGGUGGGGCCACGCAAACUUCUCAACAGACCGUACCGAUAUCCGCAGCC
This 872-nucleotide ribosomal RNA is filed under the name Aerumnosa sp. JSSCI21. RNAcentral describes it as "eukaryotic LSU rRNA". It matches the Rfam family "Eukaryotic large subunit ribosomal RNA", at positions 1110 to 1861 of the family's 3401-position model. Lineage: Eukaryota; Metazoa; Arthropoda; Insecta; Diptera; Sciaridae. The record is from RNAcentral.